RNAcentral lists this ribosomal RNA (496 nucleotides) under uncultured bacterium. Its description in RNAcentral is "partial 16S ribosomal RNA". It matches the Rfam family "Bacterial small subunit ribosomal RNA", at positions 28 to 506 of the family's 1533-position model. The record is from RNAcentral.
GAUGAACGCUGGCGGCGUGCCUAAUACAUGCAAGUCGAGCGAACAGAUAAGGAGCUUGCUCCUUUGACGUUAGCGGCGGACGGGUGAGUAACACGUGGAUAACCUACCUAUAAGACUGGGAUAACUUCGGGAAACCGGAGCUAAUACCGGAUAACAUAUUGAACCGCAUGGUUCAAUAGUGAAAGGCGGCUUUGCUGUCACUUAUAGAUGGAUCCGCGCCGUAUUAGCUAGUUGGUAAGGUAACGGCUUACCAAGGCAACGAUACGUAGCCGACCUGAGAGGGUGAUCGGCCACACUGGAACUGAGACACGGUCCAGACUCCUACGGGAGGCAGCAGUAGAGAAUCUUCCGCAAUGGGCGAAAGCCUGACGGAGCAACGCCGCGUGAGUGAUGAAGGUCUUCGGAUCGUAAAACUCUGUUAUCAGGGAAGAACAAAUGUGUAAGUAACUGUGCACAUCUUGACGGUACCUGAUCAGAAAGCCACGGCUAACUACGU